This 274-nucleotide ribosomal RNA is filed under the name uncultured bacterium. RNAcentral's name for it is "partial 16S ribosomal RNA". It matches the Rfam family "Bacterial small subunit ribosomal RNA", at positions 523 to 796 of the family's 1533-position model. The record is from RNAcentral.
AUACGGAGGGUGCGAGCGUUGAUCGGAAUUACUGGGCGUAAAGCGUACGUAGGCGGUUGGUUAAGUUAGAUGUGAAAGCCCCGGGCUUAACCUGGGAACUGCAUUUAAAACUGGCGAACUAGAGUUGAGUAGAGGGGAGUGGAAUUUCAGGUGUAGAGGUGAAAUGCGUAGAGAUCUGAAGGAACACCAGUGGCGAAGGCGACUCCCUGGACUCGAACUGACGCUGAGGUACGAAAGCGUGGGUAGCAAACGGGAUUAGAAACCCUAGUAGUCC